UAAACAUUUUUAUACCCGCGUAGUAAACUCCUUUUUGAAAACUAGUUAAGUUAGCUUGAGGUAGAUAAAGAUCUUGUCUAUGUCUGGUAUUUAUAGCAUGAGAGUCAAUAUUUGAUGAAAAAAGAUGUUUAUUCUGCAAUACAAAUAUUAACAAUGAAAAUAUGUAUUGCGAUGCAAAUGGUAAAAUGUUUAACU
Molecule: long non-coding RNA, 195 nt
Organism: Cryptotermes secundus
Lineage: Eukaryota; Metazoa; Arthropoda; Insecta; Blattodea; Kalotermitidae
Exons: 3
Source: RefSeq, a predicted model, not a curated record